AGAACAUCUAAGCUAAGCCUAGAAUUGUAGUCCAGGUGUUUGCUGGCUAUACUAGCCAAUAAAUAAGGUCAUUGUUAGGCAUUCAUAAACUGUGUAUGCAUGUCUUUGCAAGUGUCUUCAUAGUGUAAAGUACCUAAAGUGUUGUAAACUUGACUACAGAAAGGUCUUCUUUGGUUGUAACAUUUGCCACCUGCAUAAGAAUGUCUUCAACACCUGGGAAGUCUCAAAGAGCACAAAAUGCCUUUUAGCAGGAAACUACAUCAAGAUAUGAUUUUCUCUUGCUAAGAGAGAGAUUGAUGUUACUUUAUAGCAGAGUGGAUAUGCAAGAAAAGAAAGCUUUUGCCAUCAAUCUGUAUGAGGUUCCUCCCAGAGUCUUUAACCAUGGCCUGGCAUCUUUACCAGACAGAAAUCUCCUUUUCACUUGGGAUUAUUUUGUUGUUUGACCAGAAGAAUCAGAUCUGGGAACAGCCAUGCAGUGACCGAGGUUGUCCUAGAGUGCUGGGUCCCAUCCUUAAUUUCCUCCUGGUGAAAGCGGUGGUAAACCCCAACUCUAAACCUCCCAUUGCCCUGCACCGUGAGCUGCAGAAGACUACUCUGAAGGUCAAGAGGUAA
Molecule: long non-coding RNA, 612 nt
Filed under: Numida meleagris (helmeted guineafowl)
Lineage: Eukaryota; Metazoa; Chordata; Aves; Galliformes; Numididae
Description: lncRNA (ENSNMEG00000012210.1)
Source: RNAcentral